This 468-nucleotide ribosomal RNA is filed under the name uncultured bacterium. RNAcentral's name for it is "partial 16S ribosomal RNA". It matches the Rfam family "Bacterial small subunit ribosomal RNA", at positions 28 to 507 of the family's 1533-position model. The record is from RNAcentral.
GACGAACGCUGGCGGCGUGCUUAACACAUGCAAGUCGAACGGAAAGGCCCUGCUUUUGUGGGGUGCUCGAGUGGCGAACGGGUGAGUAACACGUGAGUAACCUGCCCUUGACUUUGGGAUAGCUUCAGGAAACUGGGGCUAAUACCGGAUAGGAGCUCCUGCUGCAUGGUGGGGGUUGGAAAGUUUCGGCGGUUGGGGAUGGACUCGCGGCUUAUCAGCUUGUUGGUGGGGUAGUGGCUUACCAAGGCUUUGACGGGUAGCCGGCCUGAGAGGGUGACCGGCCACAUUGGGACUGAGAUACGGCCCAGACUCCUACGGGAGGCAGCAGUGGGGAAUAUUGCACAAUGGGCGGAAGCCUGAUGCAGCAACGCCGCGUGCGAGAUGACGGCCUUCGGGUUGUAAACCGCUUUCGCCUGUGACGAAGCGUGAGUGACGGUAAUGGGUAAAGAAGCACCGGCUAACUACGUG